GGUUAUGGCUCAGUUGUAGAGUACUUGCCUAGCCUGUGCAAGGUCCCAGGUUCAAUUCCUAGCACCA
Molecule: transfer RNA, 67 nt
Filed under: Marmota monax (woodchuck)
Lineage: Eukaryota; Metazoa; Chordata; Mammalia; Rodentia; Sciuridae
Description: tRNA.Undet
Source: RNAcentral